GACGAACGCUGGCGGCGCGCUUAACACAUGCAAGUCGAACGGAAAGGCCUGCUUUCCCUUGUGGAUUGCGGGUACUCGAGUGGCGAACGGGUGAGUAACACGUGAGUGAUCUGCCCCCAACUUGGGUAUAAGCCUGGGAAACUGGGUCUAAUUCCCGAUAGGACUGCAGGGUGGUGCCUGUGGUGGAAAACGAUUUUCUAGUGGUUGGGGAUGAGCUCGCGGCCUAUCAGCUUGUUGGUGGGGUAAUGGCCUACCAAGGCGGCGACGGGUAGCCGGCCUGAGAGGGUGGACGGCCACAUUGGGACUGAGAUACGGCCCAGACUCCUACGGGAGGCAGCAGUGGGGAAUAUUGCAUAAUGGGCGGAAGCCUGAUGCAGCGACGCCGCGUGGGGGAUGACGGCCUUCGGGUUGUAAACUCCUUUCGACCGCGAGGAAGCCACCUGGUUGGAAGGGUGGUGACGGUAGUGGUAGAAGAAGCACCGGCUAACUACGUG
This 494-nucleotide ribosomal RNA is filed under the name uncultured bacterium. Its description in RNAcentral is "partial 16S ribosomal RNA". It matches the Rfam family "Bacterial small subunit ribosomal RNA", at positions 28 to 507 of the family's 1533-position model. The record is from RNAcentral.